CCUAUGGGGCGCAGCAGGCGCGAAAACUCCGCAAUGCGUGCAAGCGUGACGGGGGGACCCCAAGUGCCGUUUGGUUCUUUUGAUUCGACGGCUUUUCGGAAGUCCAAGAAGCUUCC
Molecule: ribosomal RNA, 116 nt
Filed under: uncultured archaeon
Lineage: Archaea
Description: partial 16S ribosomal RNA
Rfam family: Archaeal small subunit ribosomal RNA
Source: RNAcentral